Contarinia nasturtii (swede midge) is the source of this 878-nucleotide long non-coding RNA. RefSeq lists it as uncharacterized. Lineage: Eukaryota; Metazoa; Arthropoda; Insecta; Diptera; Cecidomyiidae. The record is from RefSeq and is a predicted model, not a curated record. The transcript has 2 exons.
UUAAUAUUUUCACGUAUAAGAUUAAUUUUCAACGUGGACGCAUUGCAUUUAUUUUAACUCAAUGUCUUGUAUUAGUGUUUUUUUAAAGGAUGAUAAUUAUUCUCAAUCAUUUCCAACCAUAUCAUAACGCCUAUGGCUCUAACCCAACUCAAUACUUGUUUAGUAAACAAUGUUUACUCUUCAGGGUCCAAGGAAUCUGUGGGGUAGAAAUAUUACCCAUAUUCACCCUGUAAUGAAUAACACAAAAUUCGAUCUGUAAAAUUUUUCAUCAUUUACAAUUCACUCUCGAAUUUCUAGAACGAAGAGGAACGUGAUGAAAAUGAAGAAAAGGAUAAAAUUAAAUUGAUUGAAUCUGCUAAGUUCGAGUUAAAGGAAAUACAUGAGGACAAAACAAGUUCAAUCGAACAAAAUAAUACAUCAAGUGACUUUCCAAACUUGUCAUCGAACCAUAUUUUAACGAGUCCAACCAACUCCAAUUCGAUUGCAUUCUGGAAUACAGAUUCAUGGGCUGGUGGAGAGUUUGAACCUCUAGAAGAACCAAUUUCAGGAAAUGCGAAAUUAGAUGAUGCCAAGCGUAAACGAGAAGAAAAAAAAAUUCAACGCCAAAGAGAUUUGGAAGCUCGGAGAAUUGCGCGAGGUGGCCCAAUGAAGCUGGGUGCAAAAAAAAAUUAAAAUAAUUAAAUUAAUCAUUCAAAAUAUUUUAUACUUAUUAAUAAUUCUACAGUAGUAAGUAAUAUGAUUUUAUUUGACUCGUUUGCUUUUGGAUUUGAAAUUUCGAAUUUUUUUUGGUUCGUUGUAAGGAUUUAAGCGAAUUCAAAUAAUUGUUCAAUGAACACAGUGCUGCCUUCUGUGAAAUAAAAAAAAUUGAACCCGUCGUA